This 1402-nucleotide ribosomal RNA is filed under the name Bacillus subtilis. Its description in RNAcentral is "bacterial SSU rRNA". It matches the Rfam family "Bacterial small subunit ribosomal RNA". The record is from RNAcentral. Lineage: Bacteria; Bacillati; Bacillota; Bacilli; Caryophanales; Bacillaceae.
GCAAGUCGAGCGGACAGAUGGGAGCUUGCUCCCUGAUGUUAGCGGCGGACGGGUGAGUAACACGUGGGUAACCUGCCUGUAAGACUGGGAUAACUCCGGGAAACCGGGGCUAAUACCGGAUGCUUGUUUGAACCGCAUGGUUCAGACAUAAAAGGUGGCUUCGGCUACCACUUACAGAUGGACCCGCGGCGCAUUAGCUAGUUGGUGAGGUAACGGCUCACCAAGGCGACGAUGCGUAGCCGACCUGAGAGGGUGAUCGGCCACACUGGGACUGAGACACGGCCCAGACUCCUACGGGAGGCAGCAGUAGGGAAUCUUCCGCAAUGGACGAAAGUCUGACGGAGCAACGCCGCGUGAGUGAUGAAGGUUUUCGGAUCGUAAAGCUCUGUUGUUAGGGAAGAACAAGUACCGUUCAAAUAGGGCGGCACCUUGACGGUACCUAACCAGAAAGCCACGGCUAACUACGUGCCAGCAGCCGCGGUAAUACGUAGGUGGCAAGCGUUGUCCGGAAUUAUUGGGCGUAAAGGGCUCGCAGGCGGUUUCUUAAGUCUGAUGUGAAAGCCCCCGGCUCAACCGGGGAGGGUCAUUGGAAACUGGGGAACUUGAGUGCAGAAGAGGAGAGUGGAAUUCCACGUGUAGCGGUGAAAUGCGUAGAGAUGUGGAGGAACACCAGUGGCGAAGGCGACUCUCUGGUCUGUAACUGACGCUGAGGAGCGAAAGCGUGGGGAGCGAACAGGAUUAGAUACCCUGGUAGUCCACGCCGUAAACGAUGAGUGCUAAGUGUUAGGGGGUUUCCGCCCCUUAGUGCUGCAGCUAACGCAUUAAGCACUCCGCCUGGGGAGUACGGUCGCAAGACUGAAACUCAAAGGAUUUGACGGGGGCCCGCACAAGCCGGUGGAGCAUGUGGUUUAAUUCGAAGCAACGCGAAGAACCUUACCAGGUCUUGACAUCCUCUGACAAUCCUAGAGAUAGGACGUCCCCUUCGGGGGCAGAGUGACAGGUGGUGCAUGGGUUGUCGUCAGCUCGUGUCGUGAGAUGUUGGGUUAAGUCCCGCAACGAGCGCAACCCUUGAUCUUAGUUGCCAGCAUUCAGUUGGGCACUCUAAGGUGACUGCCGGUGACAAACCGGAGGAAGGUGGGGAUGACGUCAAAUCAUCAUGCCCCUUAUGACCUGGGCUACACACGUGCUACAAUGGACAGAACAAAGGGCAGCGAAACCGCGAGGUUAAGCCAAUCCCACAAAUCUGUUCUCAGUUCGGAUCGCAGUCUGCAACUCGACUGCGUGAAGCUGGAAUCGCUAGUAAUCGCGGAUCAGCAUGCCGCGGUGAAUACGUUCCCGGGCCUUGUACACACCGCCCGUCACACCACGAGAGUUUGUAACACCCGAAGUCGGUGAGGUAACC